CCGACGGGAGCUUGCUCCCUUAGGUCAGCGGCGGACGGGUGAGUAACACGUGGGUAACCUGCCUGUAAGACUGGGAUAACUCCGGGAAACCGGGGCUAAUACCGGAUGCUUGAUUGAACCGCAUGGUUCAAUCAUAAAAGGUGGCUUUUAGCUACCACUUACAGAUGGACCCGCGGCGCAUUAGCUAGUUGGUGAGGUAACGGCUCACCAAGGCGACGAUGCGUAGCCGACCUGAGAGGGUGAUCGGCCACACUGGGACUGAGACACGGCCCAGACUCCUACGGGAGGCAGCAGUAGGGAAUCUUCCGCAAUGGACGAAAGUCUGACGGAGCAACGCCGCGUGAGUGAUGAAGGUUUUCGGAUCGUAAAACUCUGUUGUUAGGGAAGAACAAGUACCGUUCGAAUAGGGCGGUACCUUGACGGUACCUAACCAGAAAGCCACGGCUAACUACGUGCCAGCAGCCGCGGUAAUACGUAGGUGGCAAGCGUUGUCCGGAAUUAUUGGGCGUAAAGCGCGCGCAGGCGGUUUCUUAAGUCUGAUGUGAAAGCCCCCGGCUCAACCGGGGAGGGUCAUUGGAAACUGGGGAACUUGAGUGCAGAAGAGGAGAGUGGAAUUCCACGUGUAGCGGUGAAAUGCGUAAAGAUGUGGAGGAACACCAGUGGCGAAGGCGACUCUCUGGUCUGUAACUGACGCUGAGGCGCGAAAGCGUGGGGAGCGAACAGGAUUAGAUACCCUGGUAGUCCACGCCGUAAACGAUGAGUGCUAAGUGUUAGAGGGUUUCCGCCCUUUAGUGCUGCAGCAAACGCAUUAAGCACUCCGCCUGGGGAGUACGGUCGCAAGACUGAAACUCGAAGGAAUUGACGGGGGGCCCGCCCAAGCGGUGGAACAUGGGGUUUAAUUCCAAGCACCGCAAACAACCUUA
RNAcentral lists this ribosomal RNA (923 nucleotides) under Bacillus sp. (in: firmicutes). RNAcentral describes it as "bacterial SSU rRNA". It matches the Rfam family "Bacterial small subunit ribosomal RNA", at positions 69 to 973 of the family's 1533-position model. Lineage: Bacteria; Bacillati; Bacillota; Bacilli; Caryophanales; Bacillaceae. The record is from RNAcentral.